RNAcentral lists this ribosomal RNA (490 nucleotides) under uncultured bacterium. RNAcentral describes it as "partial 16S ribosomal RNA". It matches the Rfam family "Bacterial small subunit ribosomal RNA", at positions 30 to 507 of the family's 1533-position model. The record is from RNAcentral.
AUUGAACGCUGGCGGCAGGCCUAACACAUGCAAGUCGAACGGUAACAGGAAGCAGCUUGCUGCUUCGCUGACGAGUGGCGGACGGGUGAGUAAUGUCUGGGAAACUGCCUGAUGGAGGGGGAUAACUACUGGAAACGGUAGCUAAUACCGCAUAACGUCGCAAGACCAAAGAGGGGGACCUUAGGGCCUCUUGCCAUCGGAUGUGCCCAGAUGGGAUUAGCUAGUAGGUGGGGUAACGGCUCACCUAGGCGACGAUCCCUAGCUGGUCUGAGAGGAUGACCAGCCACACUGGAACUGAGACACGGUCCAGACUCCUACGGGAGGCAGCAGUGGGGAAUAUUGCACAAUGGGCGCAAGCCUGAUGCAGCCAUGCCGCGUGUAUGAAGAAGGCCCUCGGGUUGUAAAGUACUUUCAGCGGGGAGGAAGGGAGUAAAGUUAAUACCUUUGCUCAUUGACGUUACCCGCAGAAGAAGCGCCGGCUAACUCCGUG